UGAUAAGUCAGCCUGGACUUGUGGACUC
RNAcentral lists this non-coding RNA (28 nucleotides) under Mus musculus (house mouse). The record is from RNAcentral. Lineage: Eukaryota; Metazoa; Chordata; Mammalia; Rodentia; Muridae.